Molecule: ribosomal RNA, 555 nt
Filed under: Marcelaria cumingii
Lineage: Eukaryota; Fungi; Ascomycota; Dothideomycetes; Trypetheliales; Trypetheliaceae
Description: eukaryotic LSU rRNA
Rfam family: 5.8S ribosomal RNA (bases 186-339)
Source: RNAcentral
UCCGUAGGUGAACCUGCGGAGGGAUCAUUACAGAGUUGGGGGUAGCUUUGGCUGCCCCGACUUCCCAACCCUAUGGCUUGCUGUAAUCUUGUAUCUUCCGGUUCACUGCUCCGGCAUGCCGGAAGGGAUUUAUUCAAACUCGUUUUUGAACUACUGUCAUCAUUCAAUGAUCAAAAUUGAAUCAAAACUUUCAACAACGGAUCUCUUGGUUCUAGCAUCGAUGAAGAACGCAGCGAAAUGCGAUAAGUAGUAUGAAUUGCAGAAUUCAGUGAAUCAUCGAAUCUUUGAACGCACAUUGCGCCUUUUGGUAUUCCAUGAGGCAUGCCUGUUCGAGCGUUAUUACAAACUCUCAAGGUUAUACUUUGGUAUUGAAUCCCGUCGAAAGGCAGAUUCUAAAAAGAGUCGAGUGUUGUGGAAGCAUACCUCAAGCAACCAAAAACUUAUUGUUUCUGCUUUGAGCAACUUUUACCAUCACUAGUAUCUUUUAUUCCUCAAGUUUAACCUCGGAUCAGGCAAGAAUACCCGCUGAACUUAAGCAUAUCAAUAAGCGGAGGA